GAGGCAAUAACAGGUCUGUGAUGCCCUUAGUUAUCCUAGGUCGCACGCGCCAUACAAUGUGGCGCACAACGAGUUUCCUAGGCCGAUAGGAUUGUCUCUUAGCCAGGAUCUUGAGGGAUCCGCGUGACAUCAUGGGCAUGCAGAUGACUGCUUCGAUCAUGAGUCGUUGCGACGGUCUUGCUGUGAUGUUGUCACAGCUAAGAGACACUGGGCAAUCUGAGAGAGCGCUACGUGACUGGGCUAGACUUUUGUAAUUGUUGGUCUUGAACGAGGAAUGCCUAGUAAUCGUAGGUCAUUAUCCUGCGAUGAUUAUGUCCCUGCCCUUUGCACACACCGCCCGUCGCUCCUGCCGUGGCUCGUGCCGGUGAAGAGGGGGAGGCAGCGUCAACGGAGUAACAUCUGAUUGUACGUGGAACCCCUCUGAACCUUCGCGAGUAGAGGAAGGAGAAGUCGUAACAAGGUUUUCGUAGGUGAACCUGCGAAAGGAUCAUUAU
This 494-nucleotide ribosomal RNA is filed under the name Caulerpa chemnitzia var. laetevirens. Its description in RNAcentral is "bacterial SSU rRNA". It matches the Rfam family "Eukaryotic small subunit ribosomal RNA", at positions 1447 to 1831 of the family's 1831-position model. Lineage: Eukaryota; Viridiplantae; Chlorophyta; Ulvophyceae; Bryopsidales; Caulerpaceae. The record is from RNAcentral.